CUUUUCCACACAAUCACAGAAGUAGGGUCUCCUUUGGAGCCUUGAUGACUCAAGAUAGUGACUCCAACCGUGUAAGUGCAGCUUUCUCCGAACCUUUUACCCACCCCCAGCCGGGUUACUUCACCAUUCAUUUCUUCAGAGUUGAAUUGUUUACGCCUUCUGAGCUUGGCUUGCGCAGCGCGGUAACUUGCAUCUCCUUUUCCCCCUGCCGAGACAAGCGCCUGCUAACGAACAGUGAAGUCUAACUUCUGGAAAGGGAUGUUUACCUGCAAGUAAAAUGAUACAGCCUCUGGAAAAGGUGCUUUUGUUUGCUUACUUCAUUGCAACUUUACAACAUAGUAAGUGUGUCUGUCUCAUGCAUUUUAAAUAUCCAACUUCCUUGCAUGUCAAAUAUGCAGUGCUCUGAGAAUUUCUUUUUGUAUAUGUCCUGCUUUCUAAAACAGCGUUUCUUUGGGGUUAUUCCCCUGUUAAAUACCACCAAUUAUUAGUGCAACAGUUUGCACUGUAGUACUGA
RNAcentral lists this long non-coding RNA (514 nucleotides) under Lepisosteus oculatus (spotted gar). RNAcentral's name for it is "lncRNA (ENSLOCG00000022082.1)". Lineage: Eukaryota; Metazoa; Chordata; Actinopteri; Semionotiformes; Lepisosteidae. The record is from RNAcentral.